This is an RNA transcript of Daucus carota subsp. sativus, 3315 nucleotides long. It is a transcript of the gene named coatomer subunit beta'-2, with no coding region annotated. The record is from RefSeq and is a predicted model, not a curated record. The transcript has 26 exons. NCBI's taxonomy places the organism in Eukaryota, Viridiplantae, Streptophyta, Magnoliopsida, Apiales, Apiaceae.
CAAAUACUCCAGGUGAGAUAUAUAACUUAAGAAGCAGCGAUCUCCUCAUUACACAGAGUCCCGUUGUAUCAAACACCCGGUGUGCAAUUGCAACGGGAGAUCAUUUCCUAUCUCACUCGGAUCUACAUUCUAAUUCGUUACAAUGCCUCUCAGACUUGAAAUCAAGAGAAAACUUGCUCAGAGGUCUGAAAGAGUUAAAUCUGUCGAUCUACAUCCAACUGAGCCAUGGAUUCUCGCGAGUUUGUACUCUGGCACUGUUUGCAUAUGGAAUUACCAGUCUCAGACUAUGUCAAAAUCAUUCGAGGUGACAGAGUUACCAGUUAGAUCGGCCAAGUUUAUACCACGCAAGCAGUGGGUUGUUGCUGGUGCAGAUGAUAUGUAUAUUCGUGUAUACAAUUACAAUACGAUGGACAAGGUCAAAGUGUUUGAGGCGCAUACUGACUAUAUUAGGUGUGUUGCUGUCCAUCCAACACUUCCUUAUGUGCUCUCUUCAGCUGAUGACAUGCUUAUAAAGCUCUGGGACUGGGACAAGGGAUGGGUGUGCACUCAAAUUUUUGAGGGUCAUUCACAUUACGUCAUGCAAGUUACAUUUAAUCCGAAAGACACCAAUACUUUUGCAAGUGCUUCCCUUGAUCGUACCAUAAAAAUUUGGAAUCUUGGAUCUCCUGAUCCAAAUUUCACACUGGAUGCCCAUCUAAAAGGUGUCAAUUGUGUAGAUUAUUUCACUGGUGGAGAUAAGCCUUAUCUCAUCACGGGUUCUGAUGAUCACACUGCUAAGGUGUGGGAUUACCAAACCAAGAGUUGUGUUCAGACGCUAGAAGGCCAUACACACAAUGUUUCUGCUGUUUGUUUUCAUCCUGAACUUCCCAUAAUAAUUACAGGUUCAGAGGAUGGUACUGUCCGUAUAUGGCACUCAACCACUUAUAGGCUCGAGAACACCCUAAAUUAUGGUCUUGAAAGAGUUUGGGCCGUUGGAUACAUGAAAAGCUCACGAAGGGUUGUAAUUGGUUAUGAUGAAGGGACCAUUAUGGUGAAAAUUGGACGAGAGGAACCUGUAGCUAGUAUGGAUAGCAGCGGAAAAGUUAUUUGGGCAAAACAUAACGAGAUCCAAACUGUUAACAUUAGAAGCGUGGGAUCAGAGUAUGAGGUUUCUGAUGGAGAAAGAUUGCCUCUGGCAGUCAAGGAGUUGGGCACCUGUGAUCUAUAUCCACAAAGCUUGAAGCAUAAUCCCAAUGGGCGGUUUGUUGUUGCAUGUGGAGAUGGUGAAUACAUCAUAUAUACAGCACUGGCAUGGAGAAAUAGAUCAUUUGGUUCAGCACUGGAGAUUGUUUGGUCAACUGAUGGAGAAUAUGCUGUUAGGGAAAGUACUUCGAGAAUCAAAAUAUUUAGCAAAAAUUUCCAGGAAAAGAAAAGUAUCCGGCCAACAUUUUCUGCUGAGCGCAUAUAUGGUGGAACCUUAUUGGCAAUGUGUUCAAACGAUUUUAUCUGUUUUUAUGAUUGGUCCGAGUGCAGGUUGAUUCGAAGAAUUGAUGUCACGGUCAAAAAUCUUUACUGGGCUGAUAGUGGCGACCUGGUGGCUAUUGCCAGUGAUACAUCAUUCUACAUGCUGAAGUUUAAUAGAGAUGUAGUUUCGGCUCAUCUGGAUAGUGGAAGAUCAGCGGACGAAGAAGGUGUAGAAGAUGCCUUUGAGCUCCUAUACGAGAUAAAUGAACGAGUCAGGACAGGAGUUUGGGUUGGGGAUUGUUUCAUUUAUAACAACUCCUCUUGGAGGCUAAAUUACUGUGUCGGCGGAGAGGUAACGACAAUGUAUCAUUUGGACCGGCCUAUGUAUCUGCUUGGAUAUCUUGCAAAUCAAAGUAGAGUGUAUCUUAUCGAUAAAGAGUUCAAUGUAAUUGGAUAUACGUUGCUCCUUAGCUUGAUUGAGUACAAGACACUAGUGAUGCGUGGUGAACUGGAACAAGCUAAUCAGGUUCUACCUUCGAUACCAAAAGAGCAACUUAAUAGUGUGGCUCGUUUCUUGGAAUCACGAGGAAUGAUAGAGGAUGCCCUGGAAGUUGCCACAGAUCCUGACUACAGAUUUGAACUAGCUAUACAGCUGGGCAAACUUGAGAUUGCUAAGGAAAUUGCCGCUGUAGCACAGAGUGAAUCCAAAUGGAAGCAAUUGGGUGAAUUAGCUAUGUCUGCUGGAAUGAUGGAUAUGGCUGAGGAUUGUUUAAGGCAUGCAAAUGACUUGAGUGGCUUAUUGCUACUCUACUCUUCUUUAGGAGAUUCUGAGGAAAUAUCUAAGCUUGCUUUGCUUGCCAAAGAUCUUGGGAAAAACAAUGUUGCAUUUCUUUGUUUAUUCAUGUUGGGUAAGGUGGAAGAGUGUCUACAGCUGUUAAUUGAAAGCAAUCGCAUACCCGAAGCUGCUAUAAUGGCAAGAUCUUAUCUUCCUAGCAAGGUUUCUGAAAUAAUUGCUCUUUGGAGGAAGGAUCUUGUCAAGGUUAAUAAAAAAGCUGCAGAAUCUUUGGCUGAUCCUGAAGAGUAUCCAAAUUUGUUUGAGGAUUGGCAAGUCGCACUUGGUGUUGAAUCAAAAGUUGCAGAGACGAGGAAUAAUUAUCCUCCGGCUGUGGAGUAUAUAAACCACAUCAAUAGAUCAAAUGUCAAUCUUGUGGAGGCAUUCAGAAACAUGCAUGUGGACGAAGAGGAACUACUUGAAAAUGGAGGCUCAGAUGUUGAGAAUCCUGAAAACAAUGUCAAUGAGAUGCAAGAAGAUCUAAAAGAGGGUCAUGAUGAGGCUGUUGUGUUGGAUGCUGACUCUGCAGAUGGUGCAGUACUCGUCAAUGGCAACGAAGCUGAAGAACAGUGGGGUACGAAUAAUGCAGGAAACCCGCCAGCCUAAAAGAAAUUGGUUGGGCCAAUGUGAACCCAAAUUUUGUUGCCGUGCUUACACCACGUCACCAGGAUCAGUGACGAUGCUUGGUUCCAGUUGUAUUCAUUUCUCUCUUGAGGUUAUUUAAAGGUUGUUCUCAAGAGUUGAUUAUGGAACCGAGUGUCACUUCAGCGGUGGUGUGAUUUGUAGCAGAUUGAAUUUUGUCAUCAGAAUACAUACUAUAUAUAUAUGUGCAGCAUCAGUUAUAUGUCCAGUUUAGUUACUGGUAGUUCUUUUACUAUAUAUUUUAAAGCCAAUUUCUUUGGUCAAAUUUAAGAAGCCAGAUUAAAUGCGAGUCACUGAUAUCUAUGAUAUUUAAGAAAAUUUUGUGCGAGAUUAAUCAAAUAUUGUAAAUUGAUAGCAAUUGAUGUUGCUGAUUUCAGUAGACAUUUAGUCAUUUACCA